RNAcentral lists this ribosomal RNA (475 nucleotides) under Loxosceles baja. RNAcentral's name for it is "partial 16S ribosomal RNA". The stretch from base 136 to 437 matches the Rfam family "Bacterial large subunit ribosomal RNA", at positions 2073 to 2647 of the family's 2925-position model. Lineage: Eukaryota; Metazoa; Arthropoda; Arachnida; Araneae; Sicariidae. The record is from RNAcentral.
GCCGCAGUUUUCUGUGCAAAGGUAGCAUAAUAAUUAGCUUCUUAAUUAGAAGAUAGAAUGAAAGAAUAAACGACUUAACUACUUUUCCUUAAUCAGAUAAUAAAAUUAAUAAAAAGUAAAAAAUCUUUUAUAAAAUAGAAAGACAACAAGACCCUAUAGAACUUAAAUUUUUAUUUUAGCUGGGGCAGCAAGAAAAUAAAUCUUUUAUAAAAAUUUACAAUAUAGACCUAAAAAACUUAAUUAAUAAAACAAGUUACCUUAGGGAUAACAGCGCCAUAUUACUUUACAGUUCCUAUAAAAAGUAAAUAUUACGACCUCGAUGUUGAAUUAAUUUAACUCCAUUAAGCAAAAGAAAUAAAAGUAAGUCUGUUCGACUUUUAAAAAAUUACAUGAUUUGAGUUCAGACCGGUGCAAACCAGGUCAGAUUAUAUCUUCUACAAAAAAUUAACAGUACGAAAGGACCUUAAUACAAAUA